GGAGAAAAGCAGGGGAUCGCAAGACCUUGUGCUUUUGGAGCGGCCGAUGCCUGAUUAGCUUGUUGGUGGGGUAAUGGCCUACCAAGGCUUCGAUCAGUAGCUGGUCUGAGAGGACGGCCAGCCACACUGGGACUGAGACACGGCCCAGACUCCUACGGGAGGCAGCAGUGGGGAAUUUAGGACAAUGGGCGAAAGCCUGAUCCAGCCAUGCCGCGUGAGUGAAGAAGGCCUUCGGGUUGUAAAGCUCUUUCGGCCGGAAAGAAAAGAUUGCAACUAAUAAUUGCAAUUCAUGACGGUACCGGAAGAAGAAGCACCGGCUAACUACGUGCCAGCAGCCGCGGUAAUACGUAGGGUGCGAGCGUUAAUCGGAAUUACUGGGCGUAGAGGGUGCGCAGGCGGUUUUGUAAGUCAGAUGUGAAAUCCCCGGGCUUAACCUGGGAACUGCGUUUGAAACUACAAAGCUAG
This 465-nucleotide ribosomal RNA is filed under the name uncultured bacterium. RNAcentral's name for it is "bacterial SSU rRNA". It matches the Rfam family "Bacterial small subunit ribosomal RNA", at positions 198 to 644 of the family's 1533-position model. The record is from RNAcentral.